CGAAAGUUACGCUAAUACCGCAUACGAUCUAAGGAUGAAAGCGGGGGAUCGCAAGACCUCGCGCGAUUGGAGCGGCCGAUAUCAGAUUAGGUAGUUGGUGAGGUAAAGGCUCAUCAAGCCAACGAUCUGUAGCUGGUCUGAGAGGACGACCAGCCACACUGGAACUGAGACACGGUCCAGACUCCUACGGGAGGCAGCAGUGGGGAAUUUUGGACAAUGGACGCAAGUCUGAUCCAGCCAUUCCGCGUGCAGGAUGAAGGCCCUCGGGUUGUAAACUGCUUUUGUACGGAACGAAAAGGUUUCUAUUAAUACUAGGAGCUCAUGACGGUACCGUAAGAAUAAGCACCGGCUAACUACGUG
This 360-nucleotide ribosomal RNA is filed under the name uncultured bacterium. Its description in RNAcentral is "bacterial SSU rRNA". It matches the Rfam family "Bacterial small subunit ribosomal RNA", at positions 152 to 507 of the family's 1533-position model. The record is from RNAcentral.